GACGAACGCUGGCGGCGUGCCUAAUACAUGCAAGUCGAGCGAGCUUGCCUAGAUGAUUUUAGUGCUUGCACUAAAUGAAACUAGAUACAAGCGAGCGGCGGACGGGUGAGUAACACGUGGGUAACCUGCCCAAGAGACUGGGAUAACACCUGGAAACCGUGGUUAAUACCGGAUACUCCGGGACCCCCGCAUGGGGGUGCCGGGAAAGCCCUGACGGCGAGGGAUGGGCCCGCGGCCUGUUAGCUUGUUGGCGGGGUAACGGCCCACCAAGGCGACGAUCAGUAGCCGGUCUGAGAGGAUGAACGGCCACAUUGGGACUGAGACACGGCCCAG
This 333-nucleotide ribosomal RNA is filed under the name uncultured bacterium. Its description in RNAcentral is "bacterial SSU rRNA". It matches the Rfam family "Bacterial small subunit ribosomal RNA", at positions 28 to 334 of the family's 1533-position model. The record is from RNAcentral.